Molecule: non-coding RNA, 106 nt
Organism: Nomascus leucogenys (northern white-cheeked gibbon)
Lineage: Eukaryota; Metazoa; Chordata; Mammalia; Primates; Hylobatidae
Source: Rfam
ACAGAGUGAGACUCUGUCUAAAAAUAAAAGUGGCAUCUGAUACAGAGAAGAUUAGCAUGGCCCCUGCUCAAGGAUGACACAUAUUUGUGAAGGGUUCCAUUUAAAA